AGAACCCCCCCACACACACACACACACACAAACCUCUCUGCAAAUCGUUGCAAUCUUCCCUUCCUCUUGGGUGUUUGUUCAGAACUGAUGGGAGGAUCCCUGCUGCAGCUCCCGGCCCAGAACAGCUGGGGAACACGCUGCUGCUGCAGCCAGCAACCAGGGCUAGAAUUCAGCCGCAAGAACUCGGGGAGCUCCCCACUUCCACUCAGCCUGACCUCCCAGCGUGAGAGAGACCUAAAUCUUGAACGACACCGGAGCGCUUUCAUUCCGUCUGACUCCACUAGCAUCGUGAGAUGUACGCAAGCGCCUUCUUAAACUACUGGGGGCUCUCUCCUUCGGUCUAACCCCCCCCCCCCAUUGCAACAGGUACCCCAGGCUCCCUCUUGAACUGCCAGACAGGCUCAUCCCUGUUCAAUUCCAGCAGAACCUAGCUUGAAGAUCCCCACCCGGAGGUCUGAGAUACCAUUGGAUUACAUGUUUUCUCUGGGGAGUGGUGGGAGAAGGUGUUCCCCCUACGAACAGCUAGCCAGCAGGGCAAGGGCCAGCCAUGGUGCGCUGCAGAAAGAGUUGCCUAAAUAAGAGAUAACGCCAGGCCUCGCACAAUCUACCUGCUUCCAGAGCUGCCAACAAGUGACAGAGCAGCUGUGACUGUUUCUUCCCCCUCACUCUCUCUUCCGCCAACCAGGGAAUAGCACUGAUGGGGUCUUGAGGGAGUUCUGGCAAGAACCCCCUCCCCAUGUCCUCUUGUUCCCUGCAUGAUGUCUGUCUGAUUAUUGUAAGGGCUGUGUAACUUGAGGGGCGCUUCGGAAAAGAGAAACAAGAUUUCAGAAGAGCUGCACAUUGUGAAGUGCCACAUCUGGGCCCGAGAAAGAAGCACUGACUGGUGGGAUCACAUCGUAAUGCAGGAUUGGGAUGAUGAGUUGUGGCUGCAGGAUUUUCGGAUGCACAAGGCCACAUUCCUGGAUCUGUGUGCAGAACUCGCUCCAGCCCUCCAGCGCUGGAGCACCAAAGUGAGAGCUGCACUGACAGUGAGUGGUGAUUGCACUGUGGAAACAUCGGUAGCAAUCCACUGUUGCGUCAGUAGGAAAUCAUUUUGGACUUGGGAAAUCCUCUGUGGGGGCCGUUGUCAUGUAAGUGUACAGAGCUAUUAAUCUUCUCCUGCUGCGCAGGACUGUGACUCUGAGCAAUGUGCAGGAACAUAGUGGGUGAAUUUGCAACAAUGGGGUUUCUGAACUGUGGUGGAGUACACAAGUGCCGGCUU
Long non-coding RNA from Malaclemys terrapin pileata, 1261 nucleotides. RefSeq lists it as uncharacterized. The record is from RefSeq and is a predicted model, not a curated record. Lineage: Eukaryota; Metazoa; Chordata; Testudines; Emydidae. The transcript has 3 exons.